GCCGGGUGCGGUGACGCCCACCUGUAAUCUCAGUGCCCCUGGAGGCUGAGGCAGGAGGAUUGUGAGUUCAAAGCCAGCCUCAGCAACUUAGCUGAGCCCCUAAGCAACUCAGCAAGACCCUGCCUCUA
RNAcentral lists this small RNA (128 nucleotides) under Marmota monax (woodchuck). Lineage: Eukaryota; Metazoa; Chordata; Mammalia; Rodentia; Sciuridae. The record is from RNAcentral.